UCCUACGGGGGGCAGCAGUGGGGAAUAUUGGACAAUGGGCGCAAGCCUGAUCCAGCCAUGCCGCGUGAGUGACGAAGGCCUUAGGGUUGUAAAGCUCUUUUGGCGGGGACGAUAAUGACGGUACCCGCAGAAUAAGCCCCGGCUAACUUCGUGCCAGCAGCCGCGGUAAUACGAAGGGGGCUAGCGUUGUUCGGAAUCACUGGGCGUAAAGCGCACGUAGGCGGAUUUGUUAGUCAGGGGUGAAAUCCCGGGGCGCAACCUCGGAACUGCCUUUGAUACUGCAAGUCUCGAGUCCGGAAGAGGUGAGUGGAAUUCCUAGUGUAGAGGUGAAAUUCGUAGAUAUUAGGAAGAACACCAGUGGCGAAGGCGGCUCACUGGUCCGGUACUGACGCUGAGGUGCGAAAGCGUGGGGAGCAAACAGGAUUAGAUACCCUUGUAGUCC
RNAcentral lists this ribosomal RNA (442 nucleotides) under uncultured Hyphomicrobiaceae bacterium. RNAcentral describes it as "bacterial SSU rRNA". It matches the Rfam family "Bacterial small subunit ribosomal RNA", at positions 337 to 796 of the family's 1533-position model. Lineage: Bacteria; Pseudomonadati; Pseudomonadota; Alphaproteobacteria; Hyphomicrobiales; Hyphomicrobiaceae. The record is from RNAcentral.